Long non-coding RNA from Elephantulus edwardii (Cape elephant shrew), 164 nucleotides. RefSeq lists it as uncharacterized. Lineage: Eukaryota; Metazoa; Chordata; Mammalia; Macroscelidea; Macroscelididae. The transcript is spliced from 3 exons. The record is from RefSeq and is a predicted model, not a curated record.
AUGGUGAAGUUGAGUAAAGAAGCUAAGCAAAGAUUGCAGCAGCUCUUCAAGGGCGGCCAGUUUGCCAUCCGUUGGGGCUUCAUCCCGCUCGUGAUUUACUUGGGAUUCAAGAGAGGUGCAGAUCCUGGAAUGCCUGAACCAACUGUUUUGAGCCUACUUUGGGG